CUAACUUAGCAGAAUGGAGCGGUAGGCUGUCCCGGGAGUUCCUAGACGUCAGAGUGAGAAGGGAACCAUGAAAGGGAAAAUGCUGCCUUCUCUCUGCAGAAAGCCUGCUGAGCUAACCACAGCCAGCCUUUGUUUAUCCGUCUCUCAGGGUCGGAUCUAGGACUGGACCAAAGGAAAGACAGGCCCUAGUGGACCGCUCUGGAAAUGGUUAAGCCAGGAUCCUCUCAGCAGACUGAAAGGGCAGCGUUUAGCCAAAUCACAAACUCAAAACCUUCCCUAACUUCCCAACCAAAGAAGCACAUUGAAUCUGGACACAGGACAGAAGCCUAUGGAGAAGAGAAUGGCCAGGGAAGAAGGACUCUAGAAGUCAUAAUGAAGUAGUCACCGUAAAUCUUGAAGGCGCUUGGUCCAUAUGCUAAAAUCUUCUCCAGCACAUUCUGAAGGUGGACACAGCCCGAGACCGGUGAGACCCCGCGCUACCCUAAGUAGAUGUGACUGGGAGAAAGUACCACCUGUUGAGCUGCCUUUGCUCUGAGUCCCUCCUGCCUACGUGUGGUCUGAGGACCUGUUGCUGGCGUCUGUUACCUGUGUUGCUCUAUCUCCUUCUAAAUCUGGGCAUUCAGAAAUUCUUCCAGAAUGUAAGCACGUAUCCAAGUGGUGAGACUGGGGCAUGCCGGAACAACUUUACUACACAGUCACUUGCCUUCUCAUCUCCCUCAAGAAACAGCGGUCUG
Molecule: long non-coding RNA, 734 nt
Organism: Myodes glareolus (Bank vole)
Lineage: Eukaryota; Metazoa; Chordata; Mammalia; Rodentia; Cricetidae
Source: RefSeq, a predicted model, not a curated record